Molecule: long non-coding RNA, 2880 nt
Organism: Carassius auratus (goldfish)
Lineage: Eukaryota; Metazoa; Chordata; Actinopteri; Cypriniformes; Cyprinidae
Source: Ensembl
AUGAUCAGCGAACACACAAUGAGCGCACACGAUCAGCGAACACACACACACGAUGAGCACACACACGAUCAGCGCACACAGAAUCAGCGAACACACGAUCAGCGCACACACGAUCAGCGCACACACACAAUCAGUGAUCACACGAUCAGCGCACACACACAAUCAGCGAUCACACGAUCAGCGCACACAGGAUCAGCGCACACACAAUCAGCGCACACACACAAUCAGCGAUCACACGAUCAGCGCACACACGAUCAGCGAUCACACGAUCGGCGCACACACGAUCAGCGAACACACGAUCAGCGCACACACGAUCAGCGCACACACGCGAUCGGCGAACACAAACGAUCAGCGCACACAAACGAUCAGCGAACACACGAUCAGCGCACACACGAUCAGCGCACACACGCGAUCGGCGAACACAAACGAUCAGCGAACACAAACGAUCAGCGAACACACGAUCAGCAAACACACGUUCAGCGCACACACGUUCAGCGCACACACACGAUCAGCGAACACACGAUCAGCGAACACACGAUCAACGAACACACGAUCAGCGAACACACGAUCAGCGCACACACACGAUCAGCGAACACACGAUCGGCGAUCACACGAUCAGCGCACACACACGAUCAGCGAACACACGAUCGGCGAACACAAACGAUCAGCGCACACACGAUCAGCGCACACACGAUCAGCAAACACACGUUCAGCGCACACACACGAUCAGCGAACACACGAUCAGCGAACACACGAUCAGCGAACACACGAUCAGCGCACACACACGAUCAGCGAACACACGAUCAGCGAACACACGAUCAGCGCACACACACGAUCAACGAACACACGAUCAGCGAACACACGAUCAGCGCACACACACGAUCAGCGAACACACGAUCGGCGAUCACACGAUCGGCGAUCACACGAUCAGCGCACACACGAUCAGCACACACACACGAUCAGCGAACACACGAUCAGCGCACACACGAUCAGCGCACGCACGAUCAGCGCACGCACGAUCAGCGAACACACGAUCAGCGCACGCACGAUCAGCGAACACACGAUCAGCGAACACACGAUCAGCGCACACACGAUCAGCACACACACACGAUCAGCGAACACACGAUCAGCGAACACACGAUCAGCGAACACACAAUCAGCGCACACACACGAUCAGCGCACACACAAGAUCAGCACACACACGAUCGGCGCACACACGAUCGGCGCACACACACGAUCGGCGCACACACGAUCAGCGAACACACGAUCAGCGCACACACGAUCAGCGCACGCACGAUCAGCGAACACACGAUCAGCGCACGCACGAUCAGCGAACACACGAUCAGCGAACACACGAUCAGCGCACACACGAUCAGCACACACACACGAUCAGCGAACACACGAUCAGCGAACACACGAUCAGCGAACACACAAUCAGCGCACACACACGAUCAGCGCACAUACGAUCAGCUAACACACGAUCAGCACACACACACGAUCGGCGAACACACGAUCGGCGAACACACGAUCAGCGCACACACACGAUCAGCGCACACACAAGAUCAGCACACACACGAUCGGCGCACACACGAUCGACGCACACACACGAUCGGCGCACACACACGAUCAGCGAACACACGAUCAGCGAACACACGAUCAGCGAACACACGAUCAACGAACACACGAUCAGCACACACACACGAUCAGCACACACACACGAUCAGCGAACACACGAUUAGCGAACACACGAUCAGCACACACACACGAUCGGCGAUCACACGAUCGGCGAACACACGAUCGGCGAACACACGAUCGGCGAACACACGAUCAGCGCACACACACGUUCAGCGCACACACAAGAUCAGCACACACACGAUCGACGCACACACACGAUCGGCGCACACACGAUCAGCGCACGCACGAUCAGCGAACACACGAUCAGCGCACGCACGAUCAGCGAACACACGAUCGGCGAUCACACGAUCGGCGAACACACGAUCAGCGCACACACACGAUCAGCGCACACACACAAUCAGCGAUCACACGAUCGGCGAACACACGAUCAGCGCACACACACGAUCGGCGAACACACGAUCAGCGCACACACACGAUCAGCGAACACACGAUCAGCGCACACACGAUCAGCGCACACACGAUCAGCGCACACACGAUCAGCGCACACACGAUCAGCGCACACACACGAUCGGCGAACACACGAUCAGCGCACACACGAUCAGCGCACACAUGAUAAGCGCACACACGAUCAGCGCACACACGAUCAGCGCACACACGAUCAGCGCACACACGAUCAGCGCACACACGAUCGGCGAUCACACGAUCAGCGAACACACGAUCAGCGCACACACGAUCAGCGAUCACACGAUCAGCGAACACACGAUCAGCACACACACACGAUCAGCGCACACACGAUCAGCGCACACACGAUCAGCGCACACACACGAUCAGCACACACACACGAUCAGCGCACACACGAUCAGCGCACACACGAUCAGCGCACACACGAUCAGCGCACACACGAUCAGCGAACACACGAUCAGCGCACACACACGAUCAGCGAACACACGAUCAGCGCACACACGAUCAGCACACACACACGAUCAGCACACACACACGAUCAGCGCACACAUGAUCAGCGCACACACACGAUCAGCGCACACACACGAUCAGCGCACACACGAUCAGCGCACACACGAUCAGCGCACACACACGAUCAGCGAACACACGAUCAGCGCACACACACGAUCAGCGAACACACGAUCAGCGCACACACGAUCAGCGCACACACGAUCAGCGCACACACGAUCAGCGAUCACACGAUCAGCGAACACACACUCAUAUAUCAGUCUGACGCUCACCUGA